GCAUUUGUAUGUAUAUAACUAUAGUGCAGAUUAGAAACGAAUGGCAAAUUGAAAGUACACAAAUAGAACUUGUGCUUCCAUGUAACUGUACAAUUGCAUAGAUGCCAGAAAUUGGAAUAUUACAUAUUUCCGUAUAAAUUUUUUUAGUUUGGAAGUGAAUUCAAUCUUGUCACUUUGAAGGAUGAAACUCUAGAGAUUUAAUUUUCGUGGGAGACAAUCCUUCAUAUUAAGCAAUGCAGACAAUAAAAAUGAGAAAACAAAAACGAGAGAACUGUUUAUGGAUAAAUUUGAAUCACGUCGAUGCUGAAAUAUGUGUAUGUGUAUAAUGUUCGAUUAGUAAUCAGUUUCAUCUAGGCCAGAUAUUUUUAUAUUGUCAUCAUUUGAUUGAAUAUCAUCGCAUACUCGUUUCGAUCGAAUUCAUCAACAUUCAUUAGUAUGUAUAGUUAUUUAUCAUCAAUAAUUAUAUUUAACAUCAUAUACUCGCCUUAUUACAAGAACGACAGAACUCGUUUUCAAAUGUGCCUGUCCGAAUUAUUUUUUAUGUAUUUCGAUUCAGAAAAAAUAUGUCUGAGAAUUUUACGACAGAACAUUGAAUUGUAGUUAUGCCCGCUUGGCAUUGUGACAGUAAUUUGUUUGUACCACUGAAUAAACCAUUUAUUUG
Diprion similis is the source of this 661-nucleotide long non-coding RNA. RefSeq lists it as uncharacterized. The transcript is spliced from 2 exons. The record is from RefSeq and is a predicted model, not a curated record. NCBI's taxonomy places the organism in Eukaryota, Metazoa, Arthropoda, Insecta, Hymenoptera, Diprionidae.